UAUAUAUCAAAGAGAGGAAGGAAAGAAGAGAAACAUUGAUUGGUUGCCUCCCAAAUACACCUGGAUGGGGGAUCAAACCCAUAACCUGGGUUAAGUGCCCUCACUGGGGAUCAAACCAGCACCUUCUGAGCCACCUCGGCCAGGGCAGGUUUUGCUUUUAAAUGGGAGAAGGAGCCCACAGAGGCAAGUAUGCGAAGGGCCCAUGACACUCAUCAUGCUGCCCUGAGUAAGCAGGACUUGGGCACCGAUCUGGUCUCCGCUGAAGGCCAGGGCGGUCAGAGAAACGCCCAGCCUCUCCCCAGGAGCACAGACACGCCCAGGGCAGUUCUGGGAGCUGAGUGCGCACCUGUCCCUGGGAAGGGACACUCGGCCUGCUGGCCGCUCUCCCUGGUGGGCAAACUGCACGGGCUCAACUCCUGGCCUAAAGCAGCCAGUACUGGAGCAGCCACCAACGGCACCAUAACUGGGGCCCCGCCAGGAGGUCGGCCUCCUUUCCCUCCAGGUCUCUGAGGAGACAGUGUAGACGGAGGUAGUGACCGUGCUCAUGGAAGGGGCGUGUUGCUUUUAAUGAAGGCGUCACCAGAGUUGGAAAUCCACACUUGAGCUGUGCAAGUUCAGGAUUGCACAACCUGAGGCAGAAACCAUGAAAUGAGAACAGAGGCCUGAGGGAUGAGCAGUCCUGAGUUCCUUCCAGGUGAGCGGCGCUGUUGCCCAGCAGAAGCAGCCACACGGGGGCAGCUCAGACCUUCUCUCUCACCGCUGCCCCUCACUCUUCCCCAAGGACACCGAUCGAGGAAACAGAGGGAGAGACCUGUCUGGGAUAGUAGACUUCGGAGCAUGAACGCCACCAAGAAGCUUCCCUCAUUCCAUUUCCUCUUUGCCAGGACCGCCUGGGCCCCUGCAGGGACUCGCCCUCCCAGCCUGCACUGAGAGAUGGAGCGGAACGCAUUCCGAAGAGCAGUGAAGACGCGCGUGAGGAAGGUUCUAGCACAUGGCUUCCAGCAGUGACCACCUGACAGCACCCUCUUCCUCUGUGAGUUUCCUGAAGUGACCAACGUGAAUAUAAGAACAAUCACCGACUGGGUACUUCCUACCUGCCAGCGCUUACGGUGGCAUUUCACCGAAUUAUCCGAACAGCCCAGUGAGGUUGUACUGUUCUUGUCAACCUUGGUUUCAUAGACUGACAGAGGGAGUGUGUGACUCAAAGUUUCGUGACUAAUAAAAGUGGAUUCCAACCCAGACAGGCACCUGCCUCCAGGCCCUUGCUCCUCCCCAAGCCGCUCAGAACUCCAGGGUGAAACCCAGCCCAGACUCUGUGAACGGCAGCCCCUGGGAGUCGGCCUCCGUGUGCCCUGCACUGGCUGGGUCCUGGCAGCCUGGAUGCGCGCGGAAUGCUCAACACGCCCCAGGGCUCCCCACGCGGCCACCUGGCUACAGCCCCGCCCGCGCCUGUCUGCAGCAAUUUCUCUCAAAGGCGAGGCUUCCUGCGGAUCUGUUCCCGAGCAUCUGCAGGCGAGACGGUGUGCGGGAAGGCGUCUGCGUGCAGGAAAACAGGGGCCGUCAGCACCUCGCCUUCACGGGGCAGGAAAAGCUGGAGGUGGGAAAUAAUUGCUUCGAUGACGCCCCCAGGAGGAGAGACCGGGCUGGAAUGGCCAGGGGGAGGCAGCUUCCUUUUUUUUCUUCCUUCUUGUUUUUAAGCCAGAUGCCUUCCAGAAGCCGCUGCAGGUUAGAUGGUAUCGUAGCUUUGCUUCAUUCAUUUCUUCAUGGGCUUGGCGUGGUCCUCUCUGCUCCGGAACCACGCCUGCCUCUUACCACAAACCUCGUCAUGGAAAGAUCUGCAGCGUCCGUGUGCAUGGAAACCAAACAAUGGGCACCGACGGGAGCAGGUGCACGAAGCUCCGGGCGGAGGGGUGACCUGGUUGAAGUGGCCCCGGGAAAUGUGGGGGCGGCCGGGCAGUCCCAGCAGAGGGAGAUCUCCCUGGGCCUCUUCCAAACACCUGAGAACAGCAUUCUGGGAAAGAAGCCUGGUUUGGGGUGGUAUCCCGCCCCUGGAGUAUGAAAUCUUGUUUGUCAUUGUCUCUGUAACUGAAAGGCAAAAACAGAAAAUCCUACAAACUGGACACCUCCCCCGUUGUCACUCUCUUCAUUUUACUUUCAAUUCCAUUGAAAUGUGUUGGAAAGCACUUCCUGUGACUUAAAAAUAGGGGCAUUUUGGUUCAUAGUAGUAUUUCAUGCUUUGUACUUAAGUGUAAUAUACGUGUCAGGUUUUGGAUUUUUUAUUCCCUGGAUCGCAAAUUCCAUGGUAUGUGAAGUUCACAUUUGCCCGUGGGCCUGCUUUGCUACUAUUUGAAGCACUUUCCUCCCCGUCACCAUCUUUCCCCCUGGAAGAUGCCAAGCUGCGCUGUCGCGUAGACGCCUGGCGUUGACUCUGACGGGCAUGUCGCCUCCCUGGGCUGUUCCUCCCCAGCUUUCCGGUUGCAGGAAAUGGUCACAGGUGCUCAAGUCAAAACCCCCGAGUGAGUCUGUCCCUCCUCAAACCCGCACCCUGGCCGUCAGCUAGUCCAGUGGACUCUACAUUCGAGACGCUAUAAACCGGGCCAUCUCCUGCCACCCUCGUCCUAGGGGCUUCCCAGGUCGCCUCUCUAGACUCUCUGCGUCCCCAACACCCCCCGUGAGGUAGCCAGAGGGACCUUAUGAAAGCAUAACCCACAACAUGUAACUUUAGUCAGUCUCGCAGUCAACAAAUGUUUGCACGCGUUGCACCAGCACCGUUCUAGCACUUUCCGGGCCUUGCAUUCUUGCCAGGGAGAGGACAAUCAAUCAAAUUAAGGAACGAAGCCCUGACCGGUGUGGCUCAGUGGUUGAGCUUCCUCCCACGAACCAAGAGGUCGCCAGUCCUAUUCCUGGUCAGGGCACAUGCCUGG
Long non-coding RNA from Myotis myotis, 2924 nucleotides. RefSeq lists it as uncharacterized. NCBI's taxonomy places the organism in Eukaryota, Metazoa, Chordata, Mammalia, Chiroptera, Vespertilionidae. The transcript is spliced from 4 exons. The record is from RefSeq and is a predicted model, not a curated record.